AAAGAUUGAGAAUGGCGUGAGCAAGCUUGCUCUGCAGCCAUGGAUGAGUUCUUCAUUUAUACUAACUUCAACGGUAAAAACCGAUUACACUGUUUAACCAAACGGUAAGUAAAACAGUAACAAAGAUAAGCGUAAACGCAGCGUUUGAAGACAACGCUUUACACAAUGACUUAACGGACUACUCCUCCCUUGACGCCAUUAGUGAACUCUUCAUUCCUUCCGUUAAUAUUCAAAGCAACUGCAGAAUGGUCAUCUUCCUCAUCCUUCCUUGCAGCUGCUACUGCUUCCUUCAUUCCACUCUUCUCAUUCAAUAGUGUUCGUUGAAUAUGUCCCAUUCUACUCCUCAAAAGCCAUGGUCUCUGCAUCCUCCUCACCUGUAUUGGUCAACCUCCCCAAUUUUGGUGAUGAGGAUGGUCCGAAUUCUGAUGAUUCUCCCUCAACAGAGACCCUCGACCAACCUGAUAAUGUUUUGCAUGGGGAGCAUGCAGAUCAUGCUUUGCAUGAUAAUGUUUU
Molecule: long non-coding RNA, 513 nt
Filed under: Linum usitatissimum (flax)
Lineage: Eukaryota; Viridiplantae; Streptophyta; Magnoliopsida; Malpighiales; Linaceae
Description: long non-coding RNA (LUSI_LNC008165)
Source: RNAcentral